GACGAACGCUGGCGGCGUGCUUAACACAUGCAAGUCGAACGGAAAGGCCCUGCCUUUGUCGGCUGCUCGAGUGGCGAACGGGUGAGUAACACGUGAGUAACCUGCCCUUGACCUUGGGAUAACUUUUGGAAACUAGGGCUAAUACCGCAUAGGAGCUCUUGUUGCAUGGUGGGGGAUGGAAAGUUUCAGUGGUUGCGGAUGGACGUGCGGCUUAUUAGCUUUAUGGUGGGGUAGUGGCUUCCCAAGGCCUAGACGGGUAGCCGGCCUGGGAGUGUGACCGGGCACAGUGGGACUGGGGAGCGAGCCAGAGUCCUACUGGAGGAAGCGGCGGAAAAUAGUGCACGAUGGGCGGAGGGCGGGUGCAGCGUCGCCGGGUCCGGGAUGACGGCCGUCGGGUUAUAAACAGCGUGAGCCUGUAAAGUAGAGUGUGUGACGGUAAUGGAUAAGAAAGCAACGGCUAACUACGUG
This 468-nucleotide ribosomal RNA is filed under the name uncultured bacterium. RNAcentral describes it as "partial 16S ribosomal RNA". It matches the Rfam family "Bacterial small subunit ribosomal RNA", at positions 28 to 507 of the family's 1533-position model. The record is from RNAcentral.